This 30-nucleotide non-coding RNA is filed under the name Mus musculus (house mouse). Lineage: Eukaryota; Metazoa; Chordata; Mammalia; Rodentia; Muridae. The record is from RNAcentral.
AGAUAGGACCUCGCUGCUAAUGCUGGAGUU